CCAUCCCUUCUGUGUAACACAAAUCUGAUGCAAACCAAAAUAUUUUCAGUUAUAGGAUAGUCCUGUGUGGAUGGGAGAGAUUUUUCUGGAUGGGAUGAGGAGGUUCAAUUCCCAUCAAUCAUCCUGCAGAAGGAAGUGGGGGAAGAUGUAAUAGGCAUGACACCCAAGAGAACCUGAAUCAAAUUCUGCCUCUGGAAUUUACUAUCGCCAUGACCAUGGGUAGGUAUUUUGGCUUCCUUGAAUCUCAGUGUCUUCGACUGUAAAAGAAGGACUCAGACAGGACUCCUGGACUCUUAACCCUUUUGUGUGUGUUGUGAAUCUCUCUGGAACUUCAAUGAAGCCUCCUGGUGAAACCCUUCUCAGAAUCAGGAGGACCAAAAUGACAUCACUAUGCUGGGGUCGGUGUAUCACACGUCCAACUGGAGCUGAUCAACCAGUAUGAGCUUGGCAGUGUCAUCGUGUAUUUUCAUAUUUUACAAAAUACAUGAAGGAACUUUGAUUUGAUCAAUGAAGGAACUGCUAUUGUGGGAAUUCUUUC
This is a long non-coding RNA of Monodelphis domestica (gray short-tailed opossum), 538 nucleotides long. RefSeq lists it as uncharacterized. NCBI's taxonomy places the organism in Eukaryota, Metazoa, Chordata, Mammalia, Didelphimorphia, Didelphidae. The record is from RefSeq and is a predicted model, not a curated record.